This 24-nucleotide non-coding RNA is filed under the name Gossypium hirsutum (cotton). The record is from RNAcentral. Lineage: Eukaryota; Viridiplantae; Streptophyta; Magnoliopsida; Malvales; Malvaceae.
AUCUCUUUGGGAUAAUAUCCGUUC